GGAUUGUGGCUCAGCGGUAGAGUGCUCGCCUAGCAUGCACGGGGCCCUGGGUUUGACCCUCAGCACCA
Molecule: transfer RNA, 68 nt
Filed under: Marmota monax (woodchuck)
Lineage: Eukaryota; Metazoa; Chordata; Mammalia; Rodentia; Sciuridae
Description: tRNA.Ala
Source: RNAcentral